GCGAGGGCGGCUCCGCCCCCACAGCUCCGGGGGCGCUGUGUCGAGGUUCCCCGCCGUAGGCGCGCGGAGGGGGCGUGCCGGGUGAAAGGGGUGGGGCAGGCGUUGUGCGCAUGCGCGGCGGUGCGUGGCGCUCUUCCUCCGACGCGUGGUGGACGACGCAUGCGCGUGCGGAGUUCCUUUGAACUGUGGUGUUCCCAGAAAAGUCGAGUUGUGUACGUAUUACUAGUUCUCUUCAAAGAAAGUGGCCUCUUCUCACAGUUAAGGAUUUGUGUAGGCUGA
This 279-nucleotide long non-coding RNA is filed under the name Chrysolophus pictus (golden pheasant). RNAcentral's name for it is "lncRNA (ENSCPIG00010001934.1)". Lineage: Eukaryota; Metazoa; Chordata; Aves; Galliformes; Phasianidae. The record is from RNAcentral.